GGCUGGCUCUGAAGAUAGUGAGUUAUCUCAGUUGAUUGUUCAGAGUCAGUUAUAGAUCAAACUCCUUGUUCUUCUCUUUCCCCCUUCUCACUACUGCACUUGGCUACUCAAAA
This is an unclassified non-coding RNA of Colobus angolensis palliatus, 113 nucleotides long. It matches the Rfam family "Y RNA". Rfam says of the family: Y RNAs are components of the Ro ribonucleoprotein particle (Ro RNP), in association with Ro60 and La proteins. The Y RNAs and Ro60 and La proteins are well conserved, but the function of the Ro RNP is not known. In humans the RNA component can be one of four small RNAs -- hY1, hY3, hY4 and hY5. Lineage: Eukaryota; Metazoa; Chordata; Mammalia; Primates; Cercopithecidae. The record is from Ensembl.